GACGGCGAGUGAACAGGGAAAAGCCCAAAUUUGUAAUCUGGCACUUUUUACAAGUGUCCGAGUUGUAAUUUGUAGAGCUGUUAUCCGUACUGGACCAUGUACAAGUCUGUUGAAAAGCAGCAUCAUUGAAGGUGAAAAUCCUGUAGAUGAUAUGGACUACCAGUAUAUUUGUGAUACGGUUUCUAAGAGUCGAGUUGUUUGGGAAUGCAGCUCAAAGUGGGUGGUAAAUUCCAUCUAAGGCUAAAUAUAAGUGAGAGACCGAUAGCAAACAAGUACCGUGAGGGAAAGAUGAAAAGAACUUUGAAAAUAGAGUUAACAGUACGUGAAAUUGCUGAAAGGGAAACGUUUGAAGUUAGUUUUGUAUUCGUUGGAUCAGCUUCGCAAGGAGUGUAUUCUGAUGAUAAGCAAGUCAACAUCAGUCUAUGAGUGUUGGAUAAGGGUUUUGAGAAUGUAGCAAUUUAAUUGUGUUAUAGCUUGAGACUUGGAUACAAUGCUUUGGAUUGAGGAACGCGUAGUAAGCUUUGAGCGGAUUCGAAAGGAUCUCCUU
Molecule: ribosomal RNA, 547 nt
Filed under: Melampsora sp. HNMAP3061
Lineage: Eukaryota; Fungi; Basidiomycota; Pucciniomycetes; Pucciniales; Melampsoraceae
Description: eukaryotic LSU rRNA
Rfam family: Eukaryotic large subunit ribosomal RNA
Source: RNAcentral